GUGAAUCAUCAAAUUUUUGAACGCAAAUUGCACUCUCUUCGAAGAGUAUGCCUGUUUGAGGGUCAGGCCAAAAAAAAACGACAUAGUUGCUGUUACGCGGUAACAUUCGUCGGAAAUUGGGUCAUGUUAGACCUUUCGGUUUAAGCGGCUUAAACUUUUCUUUACGAUUCCAUGAACGUGUAUAUGAUUUUUUUUUCUUAUACUUUUGAGGUAUAGAUCUUUAUUAGACGUGGCCGUUGUAUCGUAUCUCGUCCUUAAAUA
Molecule: unclassified non-coding RNA, 261 nt
Filed under: Glomus sp.
Lineage: Eukaryota; Fungi; Glomeromycota; Glomeromycetes; Glomerales; Glomeraceae
Description: partial contains 5.8S ribosomal RNA and internal transcribed spacer 2
Rfam family: 5.8S ribosomal RNA (bases 1-65)
Source: RNAcentral